UCCUGGUUUCCCAGGCAGUCCCACCAGAGUGCUCUAUCCGAAGAUAGGUGGCAACUGGCGGCAAGGGCUGCGCUCGUUAAAGGACUUAACCCAACAUCUCACGACACGAGCUGACGACGGCCAUGCAACACCUGUAUACCUGCUCAGACCGAAGCCUGAGACACUGUAUCUCUACAGUUAUCAGGUACAUGUCAAGCCUAGGUAAGGUUCCUCGCGUAACGUCGAAUUAAACCACAUGUUCCACCGCUUGUGCGGACCCCCGUCAAUUCCUUUGAGUUUUAACCUUGCGGUCGUACUCCCCAGGCGGAUCACUUAACGCGUUAGCUACGACACUGAGUCAGCUAGGCCAACCCAACGUCUAGUGAUCAUCGUUUACAGCGUGGACUAC
This 388-nucleotide unclassified non-coding RNA is filed under the name uncultured bacterium. RNAcentral describes it as "contains 16S-23S intergenic spacer region". The record is from RNAcentral.